GAUGAACGCUAGCGGCAGGCUUAAUACAUGCAAGUCGAACGGCAGCACGAAUAGCAAUAUUUGGUGGCGAGUGGCGCACGGGUGCGUAACGCGUAUGCAACUUACCCUUAACUGGAGAAUAGCCCCGAGAAAUCGGGAUUAAUACUCCAUAAUAUCAUGAACCAGCAUUUGUUUAUGAUCAAAGUUCCGACGGUUAAGGAUGGGCAUGCGUGACAUUAGCUAGUUGGUAAGGUAACGGCUUACCAAGGCUACGAUGUCUAGGGGUUCUGAGAGGAUUAUCCCCCACACUGGUACUGAGACACGGACCAGACUCCUACGGGUGGCUG
RNAcentral lists this ribosomal RNA (326 nucleotides) under uncultured Bacteroidota bacterium. RNAcentral's name for it is "bacterial SSU rRNA". It matches the Rfam family "Bacterial small subunit ribosomal RNA", at positions 28 to 351 of the family's 1533-position model. The record is from RNAcentral. Lineage: Bacteria; Pseudomonadati; Bacteroidota.